GCGUGGGCGAUGAAGCUCUGAGGAGUGUAAAGCCCUGUUAGGAGGGAAGAACUUUCCGAUUUAUCGGAAUUGACGGUACCUCCAGAGAAAGCUCCGGCUAACUCCGUGCCAGCAGCCGCGGUAACACGGGGGGAGCAAGCGUUGUCCGGAUUUACUGGGCGUAAAGAGCGUGUAGGCGGGGUGAUCAGUCGAUGGUGAAAUCUCUCGGCUCAACCGAGAAUCUGCUGUCGAUACUGUCAUCCUUGAGUACGGAAGAGGGAAGUGGAAUUCCUGGUGUAGCGGUGAAAUGCGU
Molecule: ribosomal RNA, 292 nt
Filed under: uncultured bacterium
Lineage: Bacteria
Description: partial 16S ribosomal RNA
Rfam family: Bacterial small subunit ribosomal RNA
Source: RNAcentral